CCUACGGGUGGCUGCAGUGGGGAAUAUUGCACAAUGGGGGAAACCCUGAUGCAGCAACGCCGCGUGAAGGAAGAAGGCCCUCGGGUUGUAAACUUCUUUUAUCAGGGACGAAACAAAUGACGGUACCUGAUGAAUAAGCCACGGCUAACUACGUGCCAGCAGCCGCGGUAAUACGUAGGUGGCAAGCGUUAUCCGGAUUUACUGGGUGUAAAGGGCGUGUAGGCGGGAGAGCAAGUCAGACGUGAAAUUCCAGGGCUCAACCCUGGAACUGCGUUUGAAACUGUUCUUCUUGAGUGAUGGAGAGGCAGGCGGAAUUCCGUGUGUAGCGGUGAAAUGCGUAGAUAUACGGAGGAACACCAGUGGCGAAGGCGGCCUGCUGGACAUUAACUGACGCUGAGGCGCGAAAGCGUGGGGAGCAAACAGGAUUAGAUACCCCUGUAGUC
RNAcentral lists this ribosomal RNA (443 nucleotides) under uncultured bacterium. RNAcentral describes it as "partial 16S ribosomal RNA". It matches the Rfam family "Bacterial small subunit ribosomal RNA", at positions 338 to 795 of the family's 1533-position model. The record is from RNAcentral.